RNAcentral lists this ribosomal RNA (429 nucleotides) under Chloroflexota bacterium. Its description in RNAcentral is "Chloroflexi bacterium partial 16S ribosomal RNA". It matches the Rfam family "Bacterial small subunit ribosomal RNA", at positions 355 to 776 of the family's 1533-position model. The record is from RNAcentral. Lineage: Bacteria; Bacillati; Chloroflexota.
UGGGGAAUAUUGCACAAUGGGCGCAAGCCUGAUGCAGCCAUGCCGCGUGUGUGAAGAAGGCCUUCGGGUUGUAAAGCACUUUCAGCGGGGAGGAAGGCGAUAAGGUUAAUAACCUCAUCGAUUGACGUUACCCGCAGAAGAAGCACCGGCUAACUCCGUGCCAGCAGCCGCGGUAAUACGGAGGGUGCAAGCGUUAAUCGGAAUUACUGGGCGUAAAGCGCACGCAGGCGGUCUGUCAAGUCGGAUGUGAAAUCCCCGGGCUCAACCUGGGAACUGCAUUCGAAACUGGCAGGCUAGAGUCUUGUAGAGGGGGGUAGAAUUCCAGGUGUAGCGAUGAAAUGCGUAGAGAUCUGGAGGAAUACCGGUGGCGAAGGCGGCCCCCUGGACGAAGACUGACGCUCAGGUGCGAAAGCGUGGGGAGCAAACAGG